UGCAAGUCGAACGAUGAAGCCCUUCGGGGUGGAUUAGUGGCGAACGGGUGAGUAACACGUGGGCAAUCUGCCCUUCACUCUGGGACAAGCCCUGGAAACGGGGUCUAAUACCGGAUAACACUCCUGCCUGCAUGGGCGGGGGUUAAAAGCUCCGGCGGUGAAGGAUGAGCCCGCGGCCUAUCAGCUUGUUGGUGGGGUAAUGGCCUACCAAGGCGACGACGGGUAGCCGGCCUGAGAGGGCGACCGGCCACACUGGGACUGAGACACGGCCCAGACUCCUACGGGAGGCAGCAGUGGGGAAUAUUGCACAAUGGGCGAAAGCCUGAUGCAGCGACGCCGCGUGAGGGAUGACGGCCUUCGGGUUGUAAACCUCUUUCAGCAGGGAAGAAGCGAAAGUGACGGUACCUGCAGAAGAAGCGCCGGCUAACUACGUGCCAGCAGCCGCGGUAAUACGUAGGGCGCAAGCGUUGUCCGGAAUUAUUGGGCGUAAAGAGCUCGUAGGCGGCUUGUCACGUCGGAUGUGAAAGCCCGGGGCUUAACCCCGGGUCUGCAUUCGAUACGGGCAGGCUAGAGUGUGGUAGGGGAGAUCGGAAUUCCUGGUGUAGCGGUGAAAUGCGCAGAUAUCAGGAGGAACACCGGUGGCGAAGGCGGAUCUCUGGGCCAUUACUGACGCUGAGGAGCGAAAGCGUGGGGAGCGAACAGGAUUAGAUACCCUGGUAGUCCACGCCGUAAACGUUGGGAACUAGGUGUUGGCGACAUUCCACGUCGUCGGUGCCGCAGCUAACGCA
This 788-nucleotide ribosomal RNA is filed under the name Streptomyces sp. 9-23. Its description in RNAcentral is "bacterial SSU rRNA". It matches the Rfam family "Bacterial small subunit ribosomal RNA", at positions 56 to 859 of the family's 1533-position model. Lineage: Bacteria; Bacillati; Actinomycetota; Actinomycetes; Kitasatosporales; Streptomycetaceae. The record is from RNAcentral.